CUUGAGACUGUCUGUCAAAACCGACAGCAUGUCAAAACAUCGGCGUGUAGUUUGCUGAGCGGAAAAAUUUAUAUAGAUGCUUCAAGCAGAUCUCUCGUCAAAAGUACAGCCUGCUGAAAAAGAGGAUUUAUAGGGAUGUAAUCCCCAGUUUGGCCUGAAAAAUCUGCAAUCUUUUCGAGCCCCAAAGUAUAUCAACGCACCUAAACGCUUCGGGGAAUUUACAUGAAAAAUGUUGGAAAGGAAAUAAGUUCUCCCACAAGGGUCGUCGCCACGAGCGAAUCUUGCAACGUCACGUAAAGAAAGAUGUUCUCGAUAAAAUUGAGCAAAGUUAUCUAUUAUAAGAAAUAUUUUAAAGAAUUCUGUAUAUCAUAAGUUCUGACUAUCAUAAAUUUUAAGGUUGUUUAAAACGGUAUAUAUUAAUGUCCUUUCUAGAGUCUGUAUUCAAGUAUACGCGUACCAGAGAGAGAGGCAGCAAGAUUCAGAAUUCUAUCGUAUCAAAAUCUCUAUGGCUUUAAAGACCUGCUAUCGCGAAUCUAUCAUUAUUGUUGAUCGAACAUAAAUGAACGAACGCCAAAUCGGGGCAAACUUUGCAGCAAUGGGCGCGGAAUUGUUUGUGGGAAAAUAAUAGACAGCGCCGAGUGGAGCCGAGGUUGGCUGGUAAGCAAGCGCAUAGAUUCUCACCAAGAUCUAAUGAGAGACAAAUGUGGAACGAGAAAUGCGCGCUUCGAUUCAAUUUCUUCAAUGUAGGUAGGUAGGUAAAUGUGAUUUUCCAGCUCCUUUCAAUUUCUGGCCGCGAAGUGGAGCAAAUUCAUCGGUUGUCGGACAUUUUAGGCGAAUUAGUCGUUGGUGUCUAUCACUGAUUUGCAGCAGUGACAUAAUCUAACAGUCUUUCUCCUUUGUUUUCGCAUAGCUCUUUCAGUUAUAACGCUAGAAUAUCUCUGUUAACGUAAUAUUGCCUUAAUAAAAUCAAAUCCAAAAGUUUGCAGAAUUUUUAAUCACAAGCACACACACACACACACACAACAUAUGUAUUGUAUAUAUAUAGGUAUAUAUAAAUUCCUAAGAGAUAAUAAAACGCUUUCGCGAUAUUUCGUACGACAUGAUGCGCCAAUAAAGUCGUUUUUUGCGCGAAAAAGUAUUCUCCUCUUGUGAUAUCUUUUUGCUUUCUCCGAUACGCGAUAUCAGUGUCCACCCGCGCAUCACGUUUCUAUCGUCAAAGCGAGAAAGUGGAGCUUUCAUUGCGUAUCAUUCCGCCAACUAUAUCGCUAAGUAGAUAAUAAGUAAAAUAAAAUCAAUCUCAGCUCGAGCAUUCAAGUUAAGUUACUUAAAAACUAAUAAUAAUUUUUAGCGGAGUUGUUUUCUUGUUGGAUAUUUAAAAUUUACACGUAAUGAUUCGAAAUAUCAAUUCAAUCGCGGAUUUUCGCAUUUCUUUUCUGCUGAAUGACAUUUCGAGAAAUGUUUUGUCGUUUUUAUUACUCAACACGAAACUGGUAAACAUA
This is a long non-coding RNA of Temnothorax curvispinosus, 1499 nucleotides long. RefSeq lists it as uncharacterized. The transcript has 3 exons. Lineage: Eukaryota; Metazoa; Arthropoda; Insecta; Hymenoptera; Formicidae. The record is from RefSeq and is a predicted model, not a curated record.